Molecule: ribosomal RNA, 696 nt
Filed under: Citrobacter werkmanii
Lineage: Bacteria; Pseudomonadati; Pseudomonadota; Gammaproteobacteria; Enterobacterales; Enterobacteriaceae
Description: bacterial SSU rRNA
Rfam family: Bacterial small subunit ribosomal RNA
Source: RNAcentral
GGUGACGAGUGGCGGACGGGUGAGUAAUGUCUGGGAAACUGCCCGAUGGAGGGGGAUAACUACUGGAAACGGUAGCUAAUACCGCAUAAUGUCGCAAGACCAAAGAGGGGGACCUUCGGGCCUCUUGCCAUCGGAUGUGCCCAGAUGGGAUUAGCUUGUAGGUGGGGUAACGGCUCACCUAGGCGACGAUCCCUAGCUGGUCUGAGAGGAUGACCAGCCACACUGGAACUGAGACACGGUCCAGACUCCUACGGGAGGCAGCAGUGGGGAAUAUUGCACAAUGGGCGCAAGCCUGAUGCAGCCAUGCCGCGUGUAUGAAGAAGGCCUUCGGGUUGUAAAGUACUUUCAGCGAGGAGGAAGGCGUUGUGGUUAAUAACCACAGCGAUUGACGUUACUCGCAGAAGAAGCACCGGCUAACUCCGUGCCAGCAGCCGCGGUAAUACGGAGGGUGCAAGCGUUAAUCGGAAUUACUGGGCGUAAAGCGCACGCAGGCGGUCUGUCAAGUCGGAUGUGAAAUCCCCGGGCUCAACCUGGGAACUGCAUCCGAAACUGGCAGGCUAGAGUCUUGUAGAGGGGGGUAGAAUUCCAGGUGUAGCGGUGAAAUGCGUAGAGAUCUGGAGGAAUACCGGUGGCGAAGGCGGCCCCCCUGGACAAAGACUGACGCUCAGGUGCGAAAGCGUGGGGGAGCAAACAGGA